UAGGAGGCUGUACGGUGUCUCUGAGGCACACUGCAGGCGCUAUGAACCAGAGCAAAGACUAACGUCGCCUCAUAACAAAGCCGUGACCUCCGAUUUGCUUGGGGCUAUUUCAGCAAGUCCAGAUUUACUGCUGAGAAUGACGACAUUGUUUCUGCCCGUAAGACGUAUUAUGAGUCGGUACACCGGAGCUUCAGAUACAAACAACCUGAACUCGCAUCGCAGGCGGAAAAUGCGAAAAGUUUAGCUCGGAGUCGAUUCAGAAGAAAAAGGUUGCUGGAAGCGAGACGAAGUGUGCUGGCUGAGGAUGAGAUGGACAUUUGGAAGUGCGCCACCAUAGAUCUCAUAUCUGAUGAGGAAGACGGCAUUGUUUGCG
Paramisgurnus dabryanus is the source of this 373-nucleotide long non-coding RNA. RefSeq lists it as uncharacterized. The record is from RefSeq and is a predicted model, not a curated record. NCBI's taxonomy places the organism in Eukaryota, Metazoa, Chordata, Actinopteri, Cypriniformes, Cobitidae.